Non-coding RNA from Heterocephalus glaber (naked mole-rat), 4931 nucleotides. Lineage: Eukaryota; Metazoa; Chordata; Mammalia; Rodentia; Bathyergidae. The record is from RefSeq and is a predicted model, not a curated record.
GGCGGGGGGGCGGAAGCCGGAGCCCGGGCUCGCGGGCCCCCCCGGGCGGGCGCAUCGAGGGGCGGGGUCCUUCUCCGCGGCCUGGCACCGAGGGUCACAAGGACCCAGCAACCCCGUCGGGCGCGGAAAGGCAGCCCCGGCCGCGGCGGAGGCGGGCGGCGCUUGGGCUUCCGGGGCACACGGGCGCCUCCUGGGCCUCGCCACUUCCUGCGGGACCGCGCCCAUCGCGCCGAGGCUGCGGCGCCGGGAGUCCACGGGGCACCGCUCCAGGCCCAAGGCGGCUCGGGGAGUCGCGACGUCCACUCACCUCGGUGCCAGAGUGACCCAGAAGUAAACGCAGGACUGUGCUGUACAUGCCCACGCCCUGAGGGAGGUGGCGCAGGCCCCACACACAUGUGGAACUCCUGUGAACCCCCCCCCCAUAGACAAGGGCCUCCCAGGACACGCUCCUCUAUGGACCGCUAGCACCACAUACAUGGACACACAUGGACACUAGCACCGCUCUCCCAUCCAAGGUCCCCACGUAAGCAUGAGCCUUCUGACAGCCCCACGUGCACGAGCGCGCAUGCACAGCCACCAACAAGACGGGAAGUGAAAGUGGAGAUGGCUCCUGGUGCCCAGUGCCUUUCCGCCUGCUUCCGGCCCCUACACCUCUGUGCUCUUGGAGCUGGACCUAGAGGCAGGAUAGGGUCGGUGGCUCAGGGGCUCCCACAGGCCCAGGCCUGCCCCAGCCCAGCCCCUCCCCUCCCUACCGUAGCUUCUCCCUCAGCAUCUUGUACUUCUCCUCCAGAACCUUGUUUUUCACCGACUGGGGGACAUCGGGCACAAACCACGAGGCGAUGAGUUUGAUGCACAAGGCGACGUGCUGGGCGGGGGCAGCAAGGUCAGGCUGAGGGAGGCCCAGGAGAAGGCUGAAGAGACGGUCCCCCCUGAGACCACCCCCAGCUCUGCCCACCUCAAAGAGGAUGACAAAGGCCAGGCGGAUGGCCAGGAGGAACCAGAACUGUGCAGUGAGGUUGUACUCCUCAUCUCGGUAGUCCCGGUACCUGGGAGGGGGAACACGUUAGGUCAGAGGUCAGGAGCUCAGAGGAUAUGAACGGGUUGGGGGGUUCCGAACCUGCACACAGUCACGUUUUCGGGGCCCUGAAUCUUCUUGGGGUCCUGGAAGUCCUUCGUGUGGAAGACAGAGAGGCUGUGGUUGACGUAGCCAGUGAGGCAGCUGGGGAAGAGAGAGGAGGGUGGGCCCACGGUGCCUCAGCCCCAGGGAUGCUGCGCAGGAGCCACUGUGUAUCUCUAGGGGUAGUCGGGGGUGGGGCACAACCCAGCCUUCUCAGUUUCCCCACACAUGGCCACUGGGGGCCAGGGGAAGCCAUGGGGCCUCAGGGUGCCACUGGCUACAGGGCUAAAGGGCACAUCCCUCGUCUGUAACCCAGUGGCCCUGGGGACCCCAAGGAGCUGGACCUAGCUCUGCUCUGCCCACCUCCCAGGGCCCAGAGCAGGGUCCAAGUUAGGAGAGGAGCAGUUCUAGCUGAGCCUCAGUCUCCCAUGGAGUCCACUUGCUUGUCCUGGGCUCCAGCAGGGUCUGUGGGUUGGAAGGGCAGGGCAGGAAGUACCCCCAGUCUACCCCACUGCACCGGGGCGGCCCCAACAGCAUCCAGCUCCUCUCAGGAGAGAGGGCCUGGACUCUCGGGCUUAGCUGUGGUGGGCAGCUUCUCAGGGGCCUUACUCGACUUUUCGGUGGGGCUCCUUUUGGCAUGGGCUGUCACGGUACUUGUAGAUCACUCGUGGGAUGAACUCGGAGGUGAAGGCGAUGACCAUCCCAUUGGCAAUGACUGCCAGCACGCCGAUGGUCUCCAGUACCUGCAGCCAUGUCCCUGGGCCACAGUGGUGGGGCAAGCGUUGUAUCCUCUCAAUCCCUGACCAACAGGUCCAGUCUCAGCCCACAGCACCCUCUUACACCCAGAGUAGGUGAGUUCUGCUCUAGGAAAUCCCCAGCCAAGACAGGCACGGCAUGGGCUCAGCUCUCCUAUGCCACCCCUUCACCUUGACAUGGACAGGAAGGAGCACUCAAGUCCUCAUCCUCCAUCUUCCUGAACUCUUAGGGCCCACCACCAGGCUGCUCCCCCCUGGGCCCCACCAAGGCAGGAUCCCUAAACCUGGCCCAAGGCCCGGUUCCUUCCCAAGACCUCCCCUCUCCCCAUGUUGAGCCCCUCUGUCCCCCAACCCAACCAUCUCAAGGUUCUAAUCUGGGUGCCUGAGGCUCUUGCUCCCAGUUCCUGGCCCCAACCUAGGAACCCCACGCCCUCAGAGCCCAGCUCCUCUGCCUGCCCACCCUCCGAUUGCACAUCCUUCACCCAGAUCCUGGUGGCUCUCAGGAGGGCCCUGCCAGGGGCACCUUUUCCUGGGACAGAGCCCACAGGCUGAACUGGGCUGGGGUGAGUCUGUGGAGGAGAGGCAGCUCCUGCCAAGGCCCCUCCCAGGCCCCUGGCCACUGCCCCAGCAGACCCUGACCGAUGUCCUUGGCCUUGCGUGGCACCAGCCGCCGCUGCAGCUGCACCAUCUUGAUGGCGUCCAGGCGGAUUUCCACCAUGUUGCUGAAGAGUGCAAGCAGAGGCGCCAAGGGGAAGGCAGCCACGAAGAUGGUGGUGAACCCGUACUGGAUCACUGCAAUGGACGUGUCUGUCACCCUGGGCUCCGGGCUGCCUGCCCUGCUCUGGCCUUACCCACCCCACGCACUCAUCUCCAUGAACUCUUCGAACAGGGUGAAGGUGGUGACUGGGUUUAGGCGGUAGUUUCGCUGCCAGUCCCGGAGCUCAGGGUUGCCGGCCCAGCAGCCCCACAGCAUGCGCCACCUGUAGGCCAGCCACCUGUGGGCAGGGAGCGUGGUGGGCACAGACGGAGGGGCGAGGGACAGAGCGAGGAGCAAGUGGGCGUGGGGUGCUCACGGGCACAGAUACUCCAUGCAGUUGCUGAGCGUUUGCUUCAAGACCAUGAUGAUGGCCAUCUGCACAAACAGGUCCAUCAUGCAGCCGCUGAGAUGGCACUGUGGGGGCCAGAGAGCGUCAGCAUGGAGCUCAGGAGGCCACAUGGGGACAAGGCAGUAAGCCUCGUGGUGGACUGACCUCCUCCAGCUUCCACAGGCCAGCCAGGCGCGUGGACUUCCCAGGGUGACCGUUGAUCCUAGGGAGGAGGCAGGCCUGAGAAGGGGUGGGGCCAGUGUCCUGCCCUGUGGGCAGGGUUGCAGCAGCCAGGGAGGGUGGGGACAGGAAAGAAGCAGGGUGGGCGGGCAGGGGCAGCAGCCCACACCUGAUGCACCCACUGCCGGGGCUCACGCGCUGUGUGGACAGCUCAGCCUGCACAAGUAGCCAGCUGCCCACCGGCUCAGGCAGGCUCUGCACAGGGCUGCCCAGGCCUGGCCUCAGCCUGUUCCCAUGCACACACACUUAUUUCAGCCCUGAGACAGUCUGCUCCCUGUGCGUGACCAGAAGCCGAGCGAUCUGAGCCAGGUGUGGUGGCACACUCCUGUAACCCUAGCUACUUGGAAGGCUGAGGCAGGAGGCUCAGAAGUCAGAGGUAAGCCUGAGCAACUUGUCAAGACACUGGGUCAAAAAGUAAAAGGGCUAGAGGUGUAGUUCAGUGGUGGAGCACUUGGCUGGCAUGUGUGAGGUCCUGGGUUCACUCCCGAGUAUGGCAAACGCGCAUACAAUACGUAUGAAAUAUACAUAGGGAGGGCCGGGGAUUUAGCGCAGUGGUUCCGGCACCUGCCUCACAAGCACAAGGUCCAGAGUUCAAUCCCUGGUACCAGAAAAAAAACAUACACACGUGUCUAUAAACUAGCUUAAACAGAGGUAUGUAUUCAAUGGUGAAAUCCUGGAAGCAUCCCCAUUAUGGUCAUCAUGAUUUGGGGGGCAGUGCUGGAGAGGGAACCCAGGGUCUUUGCACUGAGUGACAUCCCUAGCCCCCCCUUAAUUUUUUGAGACACAGCCUUGCCAAGUCACUAAGCUGCCCAGGCUGGGUUCAAACUCGUCGUCCUCCUGCCUCAGGCUCUUGGAGCCCUGGGAUUACAGGACUGUGCUAUCAUGCCCAGCUUCAUGAAAACAAUUACUUAACAUGGUACUAGAAUUCCUGGCAAAGAGGCAAGAGAAAUAUAAGGCACAACUAACAUAAAUUUGCAAAGGAAAUUGUUACUGUUUUAGAAAAUAUGUUCUGUAGCUGGAAAAUCAAAAUAAAUUAAAUGAAACACUGCGUGGCUUAAAUCCCUUGACACUCAGAGCAGCUGCGGAGCUGGCGUCGAGCAGAGCUGGCUUCUGAGUGUCCAGCCAAAAUCCUAGGGAUGGUGCUUGAGAAAAUCCCAGUCACAGACGCCGCAACUGUUGUGAAAUGAGCAGAAUGAAAUGCAUGGGGCCUGUGGGACCCACACAGAGAAAACGUGAACCCUGCUGAAGAACAUGGGAGGACUGGAGCCAAGAACGCUGCCCCUACAGGAGGAGCCAGGGCUCACUGGAGGCAGGAAGGGUCCCAGUGCAGCACCACGCUGGCUCGCCGCCGCUUCCAGAACUCCAGGAACGCAGUGGCUGCAGUGGGGUGUGCAGGGCGUCACGGCGGGGUGGCCUGGAGCUCCGCCUGGCCAUCCCCCAGCUCUCGGCUGGCUCUGCAGCAACUCACCCCACAGAGCCAUGAAGAUGGCAAACAGCACAGUCCCCUCAUUGUCAAAGAGCCCCACAGAUCUCCUUGCUGGAGGCAGGGACGAGGAUGGCACCGGCUCUUCCCGGAUACCUUCCCCGGCUCUCCCCCAGGCCUGGCCCCUGGCCCACCUGAUCUGGCUGGAGUUAAACAGAGCAAAUCCACUCAGAAAGAUGAUGAGGCCCACCACGGCAGCAGGCACCAGCAUGGACAGAUGGCCUGUUAGGGGCACUAUCACCUGAUGGCAU